Molecule: ribosomal RNA, 525 nt
Filed under: Omolon laporti
Lineage: Eukaryota; Metazoa; Arthropoda; Insecta; Hemiptera; Membracidae
Description: SSU rRNA
Rfam family: Eukaryotic small subunit ribosomal RNA
Source: RNAcentral
UCCGGUCGCCGAUUCAAUCCCGCCGCGGUGCUCUUAACUGAGUGUCGAGGUGGGCCGGCAAAUUUACUUUGAACAAAUUAGAGUGCUUAAAGCAGGCUGAUUUCCGCCUGAAUACUGUGUGCAUGGAAUAAUGGAAUAGGACUUCGGUUCUAUUUUAUUGGUUUUAAGAAACCGAAGUAAUGAUUAAUAGGGACAGGCGGGGGCAUUCGUAUUGCGACGUUAGAGGUGAAAUUCUUGGAUCGUCGCAAGACGUACCUAAGCGAAAGCAUUUGCCAAGUAUGUCCUUGUUAAUCAAGAACGAAAGUUAGAGGUUCGAAGGCGAUCAGAUACCGCCCUAGUUCUAACCAUAAACGAUGCCAGCCAGCGAUCCGCCAAUGUUCCUCCGAUGACUUGGCGGGCAGCUUCCGGGAAACCAAAGCUUUUGGGUUCCGGGGGAAGUAUGGUUGCAAAGCUGAAACUUAAAGGAAUUGACGGAAGGGCACCACCAGGAGUGGAGCCUGCGGCUUAAUUUGACUCAACACGGGA